This 667-nucleotide ribosomal RNA is filed under the name Bacillus subtilis. RNAcentral's name for it is "bacterial SSU rRNA". It matches the Rfam family "Bacterial small subunit ribosomal RNA", at positions 50 to 699 of the family's 1533-position model. The record is from RNAcentral. Lineage: Bacteria; Bacillati; Bacillota; Bacilli; Caryophanales; Bacillaceae.
UAUACAUGCAAGUCGAGCGGACAGAUGGGAGCUUGCUCCCUGAUGUUAGCGGCGGACGGGUGAGUAACACGUGGGUAACCUGCCUGUAAGACUGGGAUAACUCCGGGAAACCGGGGCUAAUACCGGAUGGUUGUUUGAACCGCAUGGUUCAAACAUAAAAGGUGGCUUCGGCUACCACUUACAGAUGGACCCGCGGCGCAUUAGCUAGUUGGUGAGGUAACGGCUCACCAAGGCAACGAUGCGUAGCCGACCUGAGAGGGUGAUCGGCCACACUGGGACUGAGACACGGCCCAGACUCCUACGGGAGGCAGCAGUAGGGAAUCUUCCGCAAUGGACGAAAGUCUGACGGAGCAACGCCGCGUGAGUGAUGAAGGUUUUCGGAUCGUAAAGCUCUGUUGUUAGGGAAGAACAAGUACCGUUCGAAUAGGGCGGUACCUUGACGGUACCUAACCAGAAAGCCACGGCUAACUACGUGCCAGCAGCCGCGGUAAUACGUAGGUGGCAAGCGUUGUCCGGAAUUAUUGGGCGUAAAGGGCUCGCAGGCGGUUUCUUAAGUCUGAUGUGAAAGCCCCCGGCUCAACCGGGGAGGGUCAUUGGAAACUGGGGAACUUGAGUGCAGAAGAGGAGAGUGGAAUUCCACGUGUAGCGGUGAAAUGCGUAGAGAUGU